RNAcentral lists this long non-coding RNA (246 nucleotides) under Eutrema salsugineum. RNAcentral describes it as "long non-coding RNA (ESAL_LNC000739)". Lineage: Eukaryota; Viridiplantae; Streptophyta; Magnoliopsida; Brassicales; Brassicaceae. The record is from RNAcentral.
UUCUCCACCUUCGAUUACUUUCUAUAUUUUCUUCUGCUCUCAACUAAUCCCCAAACCCUAGCUGCAGAUUUGGGGGGUUUCAGAUCCACCGAAUCGAACCCUAAAUUGCCUCUCUCCCUUUGUAUCCCCACCGGAAAAGCAACCUUUGGUAUGGACAACAGUGAUCUCGCCACCGGUUAUGGCUCCUGCUUCGGUUCAGGUAUAAUUUCUUCUUUUGCUUUUCGUUUCAAUUUGUUUCAUCAAGUC